This 253-nucleotide ribosomal RNA is filed under the name uncultured bacterium. RNAcentral's name for it is "partial 16S ribosomal RNA". It matches the Rfam family "Bacterial small subunit ribosomal RNA", at positions 524 to 776 of the family's 1533-position model. The record is from RNAcentral.
UACGGAGGGGGCGAGCGUUAUUCGGAAUUAUUGGGCGUAAAGAGCUCGUAGGCGGUUUGUCGCGUCUGCUGUGAAAGACCGGGGCUCAACUCCGGUUCUGCAGUGGGUACGGGCAGACUAGAGUGCAGUAGGGGAGACUGGAAUUCCUGGUGUAGCGGUGAAAUGCGCAGAUAUCAGGAGGAACACCGGUGGCGAAGGCGGAUCUCUGGGCCAUUACUGACGCUGAGGAGCGAAAGCGUGGGGAGCGAACAGG